AAGCAACGCGAAGAACCUUACCAGGCCUUGACAUGCAGAGAACUUUCCAGAGAUGGAUUGGUGCCUUCGGGAACUCUGACACAGGUGCUGCAUGGCUGUCGUCAGCUCGUGCCGUGAGAUGUUGGGUUAAGUCCCGUAACGAGCGCAACCCUUGUCCUUAGUUACCAGCACGUUAUGGUGGGCACUCUAAGGAGACUGCCGGUGACAAACCGGAGGAAGGUGGGGAUGACGUCAAGUCAUCAUGGCCCUUACGGCCUGGGCUACACACGUGCUACAAUGGUCGGUACAAAGGGUUGCCAAGCCGCGAGGUGGAGCUAAUCCCAUAAAACCGAUCGUAGUCCGGAUCGCAGUCUGCAACUCGACUGCGUGAAGUCGGAAUCGCUAGUAAUCGUGAAUCAGAAUGUCACGGUGAAUACGUUCCUGGGCCUU
This 429-nucleotide ribosomal RNA is filed under the name uncultured Pseudomonas sp. RNAcentral describes it as "bacterial SSU rRNA". It matches the Rfam family "Bacterial small subunit ribosomal RNA", at positions 954 to 1382 of the family's 1533-position model. Lineage: Bacteria; Pseudomonadati; Pseudomonadota; Gammaproteobacteria; Pseudomonadales; Pseudomonadaceae. The record is from RNAcentral.